AUAUCAGUAGCCUGGCAGUUGAGUUGAGUUGUUGAUUGUUUGAACACACAACGAUAUCGUCGAAGCACAGUUGCAGUUACUAGUAGAGCUGAUGGAAUAUCAGCUGGCUAUAGUUCGAGGAUUUUUCGAGGAUAAUAAGUAGGAGUUGAGUCAAUUUUGGGGGAAGAACAAGAACAAAAUAUUGCGGAACCGCCUUGGGGAAUGGAAGAAGGUGUGGGCUGAUCAAAGGAAAUACGACAGAAAGCACGACAGAUAAUGCAGAUCGUAAAUUAUCCACUCCCGAAGCGAUGAAAGAGUCGGUGGAACGAUUGCCUGCGAAGAUGUUUGGAUUGUAGAAGCAAGAGAUCUUGCCAAACGACGUGGAUAUUUGCCCUGGUAAAGAAUUUAUCCACAUUGAAGAAGAAUUCGUAGCCAACAUAUAUAGUACCAUUGUUUCCAUAAUUUUAAUUUAAAUUUUGUAUUCAAUGAAAAUUGUUUUAUUUCAGCAAAUUAUCAAAUUUCAGUAAUACACAAUAAUACUAAGCAGCUGAUUUCAAAAGAGAAAAAAUCCUGCUUCCAAAAAAUCAUUCUCCCUGUGAAUUUGGGGUUUUCAAAAUCCGCAUGGGAGAAUUUCCUCGAGAAUAUUUAAAACUGGGCAGAUAAUUUCCAAUAAUUCUUUUCAAUGUUCCAAUCUUAGAGUUGUUAUUAAUGAAAAACAUAGCUGUAGAGAAAGUAUUUCUGUCAGAUUUAUGCCCCUUAUUCCUUUUCCAUCUGAAAAAAUGGGCGUAAAGCAAUGCAUUUGGUAUGAAGAUAUUCAUAUAUUUAUUGAGGUGUCUGAAUGAGGGGCAAAUACCAAAAUUAGAAUUAUUCUUUGAAGUUAGCUACAAAUCUAAGCAUCGUAGCGCAGCGUGAAUUUCAAGCAACUGAUUCUCAGUUUGGCGUUCAGUGCAUUCACAUUCGUUUCAUGAGAGAAUUGUAUAAGAGGAUUUUGUAAUCCAAGCAUGUAUCUGAAUUAAAUUUAAGUUGUUGUUUUUGGAAGACUUGUCUUUUCUAGUGUUAGAAAAGUUCCUGGCUAUAGAGUGCUUGUAAAUUUCCUACAUAAAGGGUAUUUUUUUUUUAGAUAUUAUCUUCUUGGUAACACUAGUUUAAACACAGUUGUCGUACGUUUCGUGUUUUGUAUCACUGUCAAACAUCUUCAGUUUGGUCUAUAAUUUAACCACGAAUCGUCUUCCAAACGAACAGCGCUUGCAAAAAUUCAUCGCGC
Long non-coding RNA from Ceratitis capitata (Mediterranean fruit fly), 1243 nucleotides. RefSeq lists it as uncharacterized. NCBI's taxonomy places the organism in Eukaryota, Metazoa, Arthropoda, Insecta, Diptera, Tephritidae. The transcript has 3 exons. The record is from RefSeq and is a predicted model, not a curated record.